Hippocampus comes (tiger tail seahorse) is the source of this 120-nucleotide long non-coding RNA. RefSeq lists it as uncharacterized. The record is from RefSeq and is a predicted model, not a curated record. The transcript has 3 exons. Lineage: Eukaryota; Metazoa; Chordata; Actinopteri; Syngnathiformes; Syngnathidae.
GGGAGCUAAUUGGUACACACAAGGGACACUGAUAACGACAACAGGUGGCGAAAAAAGGGCACAUGAGGAAUCAAAACCAAACGUAACCAGACUGAAACAUAACAAAUACGAAAUGAAAGA